GCCAAGUGCUCUCUUCGGCUACGAUUUUGUACGGUACGGAGCUUCCUUCCUACUUUUGUAAUGAGUUGAUGCAUUCAGUGAAAGCUAAAGAUGGAAUUAGAGAAUGCUUACCACAGGUGUCGUAUGGGAACCAAGUUCCAAAUGAACGAGUUCCGCAGCUACCAAGAGCCCGUACUGCUAGCCCCGUCAACGACGGCUUCGAAUGUUGGCCGUUGUCAGUUGCUCGAGGGUCGCCGACUCUUUAGAAGAUUUUUUCUUCGCUUCAGAAAAGUGCAGGAGAGAUAUUUAAAAAGUACCGAGAGCAUCCCAGUUAUGACAACAAGUAGCUGACAACAGUACGACGGUUUACAAGCGUAGCAGCCAUUUUGAAGAAGACAGCCGUGGCAAGUAAAGCACAUUGGACGGCAGUCUUUGCCCGUCGCGGCGUUACCGCAGUACUGGGGUCACCGGCAACUUUUGCCAAGCAGUCGAAGGCCGAUGUUGCAAGAAGAUACCGAAAACUGUACUUUCCUUGCUGAGCCAGUGAAUUUUUGAUAAAACAAAGAGUAUAUGUGUGUGAAUAAAAUAUGAUGUAC
This is a long non-coding RNA of Schistocerca piceifrons (Central American locust), 575 nucleotides long. RefSeq lists it as uncharacterized. The record is from RefSeq and is a predicted model, not a curated record. Lineage: Eukaryota; Metazoa; Arthropoda; Insecta; Orthoptera; Acrididae. The transcript has 3 exons.